RNAcentral lists this ribosomal RNA (887 nucleotides) under uncultured Candidatus Saccharibacteria bacterium. Its description in RNAcentral is "bacterial SSU rRNA". It matches the Rfam family "Bacterial small subunit ribosomal RNA", at positions 571 to 1482 of the family's 1533-position model. The record is from RNAcentral. Lineage: Bacteria; Candidatus Saccharimonadota.
GUAGGUGGCAGAGUAUGUCAGUAGUGAAAGCGUGUGGCUCAACCAUAUAUACAUUACUGAAACUGCUCAGCUAGAGAACGAGAGAGGUUAUUGGAAUUCCUAGUGUAGGAGUGAUAUCCGUAGAUAUUAGGAGGAACACCGAUGGCGUAGGCAGAUAACUGGCUCGUUUCUGACACUAAGGCACGAAAGCGUGGGUAGCAAACGGGAUUAGAUACCCCGGUAGUCCACGCUGUAAACGAUGGAUGCUAGCUGUGAGAGGUAUCGACCCCUCUCGUAGCGAAGCUAACGCGUUAAGCAUCCCGCCUGUGGAGUACGGUCGCAGGACUAAAACAUAAAGGAAUUGACGGGGACCCGCACAAGCGGUGGAGCGUGUUGUUUAAUUCGAUGGUAAACGAAGAACCUUACCCAGGCUUGACAUCCUGCGAAUUUCUCCGAAAGGAGAGAGUGCAUUAUUGAGCGCAGUGACAGGUGUUGCAUGGCCGUCGUCAGCUCGUGUCGUGAGAUGUUUGGUUAAGUCCAUCAACGAGCGCAACCCUUAUAGUCUGUUGUAUUUUUCAGGCUAGACUGCCCCGGUAACGGGGAGGAAGGAGGGGAUGAUGUCAGGUCAGUAUUACCCUUACGUCUGGGGCUACAAACACGCUACAAUGGCCGGUACAAAGGGCUGCCAAGUCGCAAGACGGAGCAAAUCCCAUCAAAGCCGGUCUCAGUUCGGAUUGCAGGCUGAAACUCGCCUGCAUGAAGUCGGAAUCGCUAGUAACGGUAGGUCAGCUAUACUACCGUGAAUACGUUCCCGGGUCUUGUACACACCGCCCGUCAAACCAUGAAAGUCACCAAUACCUGACGUGUUGCCUUCGCGCAGCCCUAAGGUAGGGGGGAUGAUUGGGGUU